RNAcentral lists this ribosomal RNA (257 nucleotides) under uncultured bacterium. RNAcentral describes it as "partial 16S ribosomal RNA". It matches the Rfam family "Bacterial small subunit ribosomal RNA", at positions 524 to 777 of the family's 1533-position model. The record is from RNAcentral.
UACGUAGGAGGCAAGCGUUGUCCGGAAUUACUGGGCGUAAAGGGCGCGUAGGCGGCCCUGUGUGUCGGGUGUGAAAGCCCACCUCUUAAAGGUGGAAUUGCAUUCGAAACUACAGGGCUGGAGUGUCGGAGAGGAUGGCGGAAUUCCUGGUGUAGAGGUGAAAUUCGUAGAUAUCAGGAGGAACACCGGUGGCGAAGGCGGCCAUCUGGACGACAACUGACGCUGACGGCGGCGAAAAGCGUGGGGAUCAAACAGGG